UUUUCUCAUUUCUAGUUCUCAAGAACAGCUGUAGAAUGUUCUGGGAAUGCAACAUUCUGAGAUAAGGAGGGCUGGCUGGAACAGCCUGAGCUCUGUUCUGGGACCCCGCUUUACUGAAAUAAGAUAACCUUCAAUGUUUUAGCCCAGCAAAUCUCAUUGCCCCACAGCAUAAAACCAAGGUUGAGAGGCUUUCUGGGGUCCCUCAGCUGAUACAAGUGGGGUAUGCAUGGAGGACACUCCAUCUAUCCUGGGCAAAUUUCUUGAGCCUUGCAGACUGGCUUACAAUGUGUCACGGGCUUCUGUUGUCUUGCUGCCUAUCUGUAAGUAGUAAAAAGUCUCUUCAUGCAGCUUGUUGUAUGCACAGGUGUUUUCUCUCACUGGACUCAGACAAGUUGGUGACCCGCACACAAUAAACCUGCUCCACAACAAGAGGAGAAGGAAUUCCAGAGCUCAAAAUGGAGAAAGGAACAGAGUAAGAACAAUGGCUUCAGGAGGAAAAUGCAAUGAUAGAAGCUUUGAAAGAAAGACAACUAGAAUUCAGGUCAUAGUAGAUGAUGAUACCUGCCUGUCUGACCUUUGAGGAAGGGGAAUUUCUGAAACCUAAGGCUUCCUUGUAUUGCUCAAUUCAGUGAGAAAGAAAUCACUAAUGAUAUAACAGAAAUUCUUAAUGAGCCUUUUCUCACGCACAAGAAAGAAAGCUUCCCUGACGUUCUAAUGUUAAGCUGAGAUUUUGAAGCUCCCAUCCAUCCCUGAAAUUAGAAAACCCCAAAUCUUUCAUCCAGGGUUUUGCUCUGUCGCCCCCGCUGGAGCGCAGUGGCACAAACAGAGUACAUUGCUGUCUAUCUUCUGGACUCAAGUGAUCUUCCCUCCUCAGCCUUCUGAGUAGCUGGGACUACAGAUGCAGAUAGAAAUAUUAGUUUUAUGAGAAACUAUUUCUUAAAGGAUGAAACAUUCCACAAAAUAUAUUUUAUCACAGACUAUGGGUGGAUUCCACUGGGAGAAAAGAGGAUCUAAAUGCCAGGCUCACCCCUCACAUUCUAUUCAACUGCACAGGAUAGAAUGAUACAUCCCUCUCUCACAAGAGCUCCCUGGAAACUGCAGAGGAAUCACCAUCUUCAGCAAGCUUUAUCAAGAAUGCAUUCAUGAGAUUCCCACUUUAAACAUCCAGCCAAGCACUUUUAUGUCUGUCACAGAGGCUUUAAAGGAGAGGCUGGAGAGUUCUCAUUUUCAGCACCAUCUCAGCUGUCGGUAUUUCCCAAACCUGCACUGAUGUCUGAGAAUCCACAUCAAAACUUUUGCAUUUGUCCUCAAAGAAUGUCACAACUAUUAUUCUGAAAUGCUCAUUGCAUCUAUUUCUAGGGAUGGUAAUGAUGACUCUGUACGGACUAAGAUAGGAUUAAUAACAAUGCAGAGUUGAACUCAA
RNAcentral lists this long non-coding RNA (1423 nucleotides) under Homo sapiens (human). RNAcentral's name for it is "HSALNT0322439". The record is from RNAcentral. Lineage: Eukaryota; Metazoa; Chordata; Mammalia; Primates; Hominidae.